Molecule: transfer-messenger RNA, 195 nt
Filed under: Prochlorococcus marinus str. MIT 9215
Lineage: Bacteria; Bacillati; Cyanobacteriota; Cyanophyceae; Synechococcales; Prochlorococcaceae
Description: transfer-messenger RNA Proch_marin_9215
Rfam family: Cyanobacteria transfer-messenger RNA
About the family: Bacterial tmRNA, also known as 10Sa RNA or SsrA, is named for its dual tRNA and mRNA-like properties. Its role is to liberate the mRNA from a stalled ribosome.
Source: RNAcentral
GGGGUUGUAAUGGUUUCGACGGGGCAUAAGGAAGGUGACUGAAGCCGGCUCGGUUAGAGCAAAAACACAAAUGCUAACAAAAUCGUUAGUUUCUCCCGUCAGGCCGCACCAGUUGCUGCUUGAUCCUAACGGAGAUGGGGUUAUAUCAGCCUUAUCAACCAAAUGAUACGAGGAGUCUGGAAGGACUCCACUUUU